AGUGAACGCUGGCGGUAGGCCUAACACAUGCAAGUCGAACGGCAGCACAGUAAGAGCUUGCUCUUACGGGUGGCGAGUGACGGACGGGUGAGAAGUACAUCGGAAUCUACUUUUUCUUGGGUGAUAACGUAGGGAAACUUACGCUAAUACCGCAUACGACCUACGGGUGAAAUCAGUGGAUCUUGGGACCUUUCGCGAUUGAAUUAGCCGGUGUCGGAUUAGCUGGUUGGCGGGGUAAAGGCACACCAAGGCGACGAACCGUAGCGUGUCUGAGAGGAGGGCCGGCCCACUUGGACCUGAGAAACGUCCCAGACCCUUACGGGAGGCAGAAGUGGGGAAUUUCGGACAAUGGGCGAAAGCCUGCGCCAGCCAUACCGCGUGGGUGAAGAAGGCCUUCGGGUUGUAAAGCCUUUUUGUUGGGAAAGAAAAGCAGCAGGUUAACACCCCGCUGUUCGGCCGGUCCCAAAAGAAUAGGCACCGCCAAACUCCGU
This 491-nucleotide ribosomal RNA is filed under the name uncultured bacterium. RNAcentral's name for it is "partial 16S ribosomal RNA". It matches the Rfam family "Bacterial small subunit ribosomal RNA", at positions 29 to 506 of the family's 1533-position model. The record is from RNAcentral.